This 459-nucleotide ribosomal RNA is filed under the name Triticum aestivum (bread wheat). RNAcentral describes it as "partial small subunit ribosomal RNA". Lineage: Eukaryota; Viridiplantae; Streptophyta; Magnoliopsida; Poales; Poaceae. The record is from RNAcentral.
AUGGCAGGCAUGGGCGAUAUGCAGAUGAGGCCGCGGCCGGGCCCGCCGAUGCACCGCGGCCCGCCUCCCAUGGCGCGGCCCCGCCCCCAACCCAUCGACCGCGAGAAGACCUGCCCUCUCCUGCUCCGGGUUUUCACCAAGGUUGGUGGCCAUCACCUAAAUGAAGAAUUUUCUGAGAGAGGGAAGGAGCCAAAAGAUGAAGUUCAGAUUUAUACGUGGAAGGAUGCCACACUCCGGGAGCUCACUGAUCUUGUCAAAGAGGUUGCUCUUCCAGCAAGGAAAAGAAACGCUAGGUUAUCUUUUGCUUUUGUAUACCCGGAUAAGAAUGGUCGUUUUGUUGUCAAACAGGUGGGUUCGACCUUUUCUUAUGGUCAUGGAAGAGGGGAUGAUGCCAAAUCUCUUGGGGAUCUUGGCUUCCAGGUAUGCAUAGGUGAUUACUUGAGCGUGUCGAUCAUGUGA